UACGAAGGGGGCUAGCGUUGCUCGGAAUCACUGGGCGUAAAGCGCACGUAGGCGGCUUCUUAAGUCAGGGGUGAAAUCCUGGAGCUCAACUCCAGAACUGCCUUUGAUACUGAGGAGCUUGAGUCCGGGAGAGGUGAGUGGAACUGCGAGUGUAGAGGUGAAAUUCGUAGAUAUUGGGAAGAACACCGGUGGCGAAGGCGGCUCUCUGGACCACAACUGACGCUGAGGCGCGAAAGCGUGGGGAGCAAACAGG
RNAcentral lists this ribosomal RNA (253 nucleotides) under uncultured bacterium. RNAcentral describes it as "partial 16S ribosomal RNA". It matches the Rfam family "Bacterial small subunit ribosomal RNA", at positions 524 to 776 of the family's 1533-position model. The record is from RNAcentral.